RNAcentral lists this ribosomal RNA (433 nucleotides) under uncultured bacterium. Its description in RNAcentral is "partial 16S ribosomal RNA". It matches the Rfam family "Bacterial small subunit ribosomal RNA", at positions 29 to 507 of the family's 1533-position model. The record is from RNAcentral.
AACGAACGCUGGCGGCAUGCCUAACACAUGCCAGUCGAACGAGACCUCCGGGUCUUGUGGCGCACGGGUGCGUAACGCGUGGGAACCUGCCCUUAGGUUCGGCAUCCCUCCCCUACUGGGGUGCUAAUACCGGAUAAUGUCUUCGCACCAAAGAUUUAUCGCCUUUGGAUGUGCCCGCGUUGGAUUAGCUAGUUGGUAGGGUAUAAGCCUACCAAGGCGACGAUCCCUAGCUGGUCUGAGAGGAUGAUCAGCCACACUGGGACUGAGACACGGCCCAGACUCCUACGGGAGGAAGCAGUGGGGAAUAUUGGACAAGGGGCGAAAGCCUGAUCCAGCAAUGCCGCGUGAGUGAUGAAGGCCUUAGGGUUGUAAAGCUCUUUUACCCGGGAUGAUAAUGACAGUACCGGGAGAAUAAGCGCCGGCUAACUCCGUG